UGUUGACUCACCAAGAGCAAAAAACCUUAAACCCCUAGAUCGCUAAACCCCCAAAUGCGAAAGUGUUGGCGCCGUCAUUGAAGGAUUGCUGGCUCCAUCGUUCAAAGACUGUUGGCUUCCACCGUAACUGCUUGGUCAAUAUUCAUUUUUUGGCUCCCACCGUAAUUGCUUGGUCAAUAUUCAUUUUGAAAUGUCGUUCUUGAAAUGUUGUCUAUGGCCAGGCAUCCUUCGAUUCCGAGAAUAAUUUUUUUUUGGUGUGGGGAGUAUCAUUCUUUGCGUGGCCUACAACUCAUAUAAUUUUGCUUAGUCAGUUGUGUUUUUAUUGAAGUCCAUGUAUGUUUCGUUUCUUGUUGGAUGCUUCUGGUUUGUACGCUUUGGUUUAGAGGAAGCUCACUGGUGUACUAUUAGCUAUGCAUUCUUUUUUUUUUUCUGGUGUUUAUUAUUAUGAUGUUAUUUAGCAUUUAAAUCUACCGCGUAUUAUCAGAAAAGGACAAGCAUUGCAAUUCAACUGGUUAUAUGAGAAAGGUGCCUUUGUCUGGCAUUCUGAAGGCUCAAUUUCUGUUGAUUUUACCAAGAUUGAAAGAGCAGUUGAAAGCCUGAGCAAGGAGAUACUCACCAUUCAAGCCAAAGGUGAUAAAGAGGCUGCUGGUUUACUUCUCCACAAAUACUGUGUAAUGACAGAACCACCAAAAAUUGCUCUCAAAAAGUUGGAAAAUAUUCAGGCAUAGCAGAGGAAGUUCCAAAUGACAUAGAAGAAGAAGAAGAAGAAGAAGAAGAAGAAGACAUACAAUUGACAACAAAUUGUGAGUAGUAACAUGACUGAUGUAGCAAGAGGGAGAGGCAGUGGUAGAGGUAUGAGUAGAGGUAGGGGAAGAGGGAGAGGUAAAGGUACCACCAUUGUGCCACCACCUUUUACUUCUUAGCCAACACAUUCUAUUGGAGAUCCCCACAUUGUACUACACAACCUACACAUGCUUCCACCUCCCAAACACCUACAACUCCCCAAGGUAACCAACCUACACCUACCUCAUGUUACUUCCACUUCCCAACCACAUUUAGUUCCUCAAACUAACCAGUCUAUACCUACCCCUCAUGUUUCUUUGACACAAUCCCCAAAUAUGAUUGAAACACCAUAGACAAAUCCCUCCAUUGAUGUUACUGGUAGUCCAAUUGUUGGAUCAUCAUCCUCUAUUGAUCCAUCUUUAGAAAUUGGAAGUGUAGACUCUAAUGGACGUAUUUGGAUUUGUCCAGGUCCACAAAACACAUUUGACCUACCAAUUCACCCUACUCGUGAAAUUUCAAGAAUAAUCAAAGGGAAGUUUGAAGGGUCAUGGGAAUCAUAUCGAGAGGUUAAAAGCACUAAUGAAAGUGUGGCAAACAUGUGGUUUGAAGAGUUUCAGAGAAAGUUCAAGUGGCUGGCUGAUCAUGAUGCACAAAUAAGAAGAGCAUUUGACCAAAAAGCAUCUGAAGAGUUUUCAAAUGCUAUGUAUAGGGUGUGACGAGGCAUUGAUCUAAGGAGUUGGAUUCCAAAGCAAAAACGUGUAUAACUUGAACAAAAAUGGAAUGAUAAGAACUGGAAAGAAAAGUCAAGGACUAAUACUAAUAAUAGAAAUUCUUCUGAUGGUUCACUGCAUACUGGAGGAUCCAUUCCUACUUCUGAGCAUUUUAAGAGAUUGAAUGAGUAUGAAAGACGGUUAUCUGAAAGAGAGUCACAACAAUCAUCAGGAGAUGCUGCCUCUAGUGUGCAAUCUGAAAAUAGUAUUUUCUAUGAUGUUGUUGGUGGUGUGAACAAUAAAGGAAGAAUAUUUGGUCUAGGUUUAGAGGCUGGGAAGUAUAAACCUUCUUCUUAUAGAUUCUCAUAUGGUAUCUCAAAUUCUGAGUAUGAACAAAUGAAAAAUCUUGUUUCAAAUUUGUCUAAAGAAAACAAAACAUUGAAAGAACAAUUGCAAAGCCAUGCAUAUUUGAUUCAUGCUUCACAGGAAGAGUCUCGGUUGGUUCGUGAGCAACUAAAGUAAUUUAUGGGGACGUUUUCUCUUGGGUUGGCUUCUCAAUCUUCUUGUCCUCCCCAACCUCCUCCUAUACAUGAUGCAAACACUAUACAAUCUGAUGAUAAUGAGUUAGAUGAUGAUCAUGAUAUAAAUGUUUAGGGAUGCAUUAUCUUUUACUAUUAUUAAUAUUUACUAUACUUUAAACUUAUACUUUGUUAUGUUUAAGUUUUACUAUAGUACUUAUCAUACAUUAGG
Molecule: non-coding RNA, 2243 nt
Organism: Cajanus cajan (pigeon pea)
Lineage: Eukaryota; Viridiplantae; Streptophyta; Magnoliopsida; Fabales; Fabaceae
Source: RefSeq, a predicted model, not a curated record